RNAcentral lists this ribosomal RNA (468 nucleotides) under uncultured bacterium. RNAcentral's name for it is "partial 16S ribosomal RNA". It matches the Rfam family "Bacterial small subunit ribosomal RNA", at positions 28 to 507 of the family's 1533-position model. The record is from RNAcentral.
GAUGAACGCUGGCGGCGUGCUUAACACAUGCAAGUCGAACGGAAAGACCCUGCUCUUGUGGCGUGCUCGUGAGCCGCGCGCGGGAGUCACACGUGAGUAACCUGCCCUUAUCUUUCGGAUAACUCUACGAAACUGUGGCUAAAAUAGCAUAGGAGCUACUGCUCCCUGGGGGGGGUUGGAGAGUGUCGGCGGUGGGGGAUGGGCUCGCGGCUUAUCAGCUUGUUGGUGGGGUAGUGUCUUACCAAGGCUUCGACGGGUAGCCGGCCUGGGCGGGUGACCGGCCACAAUGCGACUGAGGUACGGCGCAGACGCCUACGGGAGGCAGCAGUGGGGAAGAUUGCACAGCAGGCGGAAGCCUGAUGCAGCAGCGCUGCGUGCGGGAGGACGUCCUACGAGGUGUAAACCGCUGUCGCCUGUGACGAAGAGGGAGUGACGGUAAUUGGUAAAGAAGCACCGGCUAACUACGUG